This 25-nucleotide non-coding RNA is filed under the name Rattus norvegicus (Norway rat). Lineage: Eukaryota; Metazoa; Chordata; Mammalia; Rodentia; Muridae. The record is from RNAcentral.
UUUAUCAGAGGACUACAUCGUGUGA